GCCGACGUAGCUCAAUGGUAGAGCAAGUGUUUUGUAAACACUAGGCUGGGGGUUCAAUUCCCUUCGUCGGCU
RNAcentral lists this transfer RNA (72 nucleotides) under Candidatus Omnitrophota bacterium. Its description in RNAcentral is "tRNA-Thr". It matches the Rfam family "tRNA". From Rfam's summary of the family: Transfer RNA (tRNA) molecules are approximately 80 nucleotides in length. The record is from RNAcentral. Lineage: Bacteria; Pseudomonadati; Candidatus Omnitrophota.